UGGGGAAUUUUGGACAAUGGGGGCAACCCUGAUCCAGCAAUGCCGCGUGUGUGAAGAAGGCCUUCGGGUUGUAAAGCACUUUUGUCCGGGAAGAAAUCCCCUGCCCUAAUACGGCGGGGGGAUGACGGUACCGGAAGAAUAAGCACCGGCUAACUACGUGCCAGCAGCCGCGGUAAUACGUAGGGUGCGAGCGUUAAUCGGAAUUACUGGGCGUAAAGCGUGCGCAGGCGGUGAUGUAAGACCGAUGUGAAAUCCCCGGGCUCAACCUGGGAACUGCAUUGGUGACUGCAUUGCUCGAGUAUGGCAGAGGGGGGUGGAAUUCCACGUGUAGCAGUGAAAUGCGUAGAGAUGUGGAGGAACACCGAUGGCGAAGGCAGCCCCCUGGGCCAAUACUGACGCUCAUGCACGAAAGCGUGGGGAGCAAACAGGAUUAGAUACCCUGGUAGUCCACGCCCUAAACGAUGUCAACUGGUUGUCGGGCCUUCAUUAGCUUGGUAACGUAGCUAACGCGUGAAGUUGACCGCCUGGGGGAGUACGGUCGCAAGAUUAAAACUCAAAGGAAUUGACGGGGUCAUACUGUUUCCU
This 585-nucleotide ribosomal RNA is filed under the name uncultured bacterium. Its description in RNAcentral is "partial 16S ribosomal RNA". It matches the Rfam family "Bacterial small subunit ribosomal RNA", at positions 355 to 932 of the family's 1533-position model. The record is from RNAcentral.